RNAcentral lists this ribosomal RNA (492 nucleotides) under uncultured bacterium. RNAcentral describes it as "partial 16S ribosomal RNA". It matches the Rfam family "Bacterial small subunit ribosomal RNA", at positions 29 to 507 of the family's 1533-position model. The record is from RNAcentral.
AGUGAACGCUGGCGGUAUGCCUAACACAUGCAAGUCGAACGGCAGCACACUAAGAGCUUGCUCUUACGGGUGGCGAGUGGCGUACGGCUGAGGAAUACAUCCGAAGCUACUUUUUCGUGGGGGAUAACGUAGGGUAACUUACGCUAAUACCGCAUACGACCUACGGGUGACAGCAGGGGAUCUUCGGACCUCGCGCGUUUGAAUGAGCCGAUGUCGGAUUAGCUAGUUGGCGGGGUAAAGGCCCACCAAGCCGACGAUCCGUAGCUGGUCUGAGAGGAUGAUCAGCCACACUGGAACUGAGACACGGUCCAGACUCCUACGGGAGGCAGCAGUGGGGAAUAUUGGACAAUGGGCGCAAGCCUGAUCCAGCCAUGCCGCGUGGGUGAAGAAGGCCUUCGGGUUGUAAAGCCCUUUUGUUGGGAAAGAAAAGCAGCAGGUUAAUACCCCGCUGUUCUGACGGUACCGAAAGAAUAAGCACCGGCUAACUUCGUG